RNAcentral lists this ribosomal RNA (274 nucleotides) under uncultured bacterium. RNAcentral's name for it is "partial 16S ribosomal RNA". It matches the Rfam family "Bacterial small subunit ribosomal RNA", at positions 523 to 796 of the family's 1533-position model. The record is from RNAcentral.
AUACGGGGGGUGCAAGCGUUAUUCGGAUUUAUUGGGUGUAAAGGGCGCGUAGGCGGCUUGGUAAGUCAGAUGUGAAAGCCCGGGGCUUAACCCCGGAAGUGCAUUUGAAACUAUCAGGCUUGAGUAUGGGAGAGGGAAGUGGAAUUCCUGGUGUAGAGGUGAAAUUCGUAGAUAUCAGGAGGAACACCGGUGGCGAAGGCGACUUCCUGGACCAAUACUGACGCUGAGGCGCGAAGGCGUGGGGAGCAAACAGGAUUAGAUACCCUAGUAGUCC